This 189-nucleotide ribosomal RNA is filed under the name uncultured bacterium. Its description in RNAcentral is "partial 16S ribosomal RNA". It matches the Rfam family "Bacterial small subunit ribosomal RNA", at positions 338 to 524 of the family's 1533-position model. The record is from RNAcentral.
CCUACGGGAGGCAGCAGUGAGGAAUAUUGGUCAAUGGACGCAAGUCUGAACCAGCCAUGCCGCGUGCAGGAAGACGGUCCUAUGGAUUGUAAACUGCUUUUGUACGGGAAGAAACACUCCUACGUGUAGGAGCCUGACGGUACCGUAAGAAUAAGGAUCGGCUAACUCCGUGCCAGCAGCCGCGGUAAU